Molecule: RNA transcript, 3106 nt
Organism: Hypanus sabinus (Atlantic stingray)
Lineage: Eukaryota; Metazoa; Chordata; Chondrichthyes; Myliobatiformes; Dasyatidae
Gene name: afadin- and alpha-actinin-binding protein-like
Exons: 11
Source: RefSeq, a predicted model, not a curated record
UCUUCUUUUUUGUUAACUAGCAGGAAUGCUAAUUUACUGAUAACGAGAAUGGUAUUCCUUUGUAAACCAAAUGGGGAUUAAUGUUCUUUCUUCUGAGUCUGUAAGCUUUUGUUGACGGGCUUUUGGGCAGAUCGGCGCGAGGGGGUCGAGAGAGAGGACGCAAUGCUGUAAGCUGGGCGAGGAUCGGACCCCAAAGGGGGGUCCGAGGCCGGGAGAUUCUCCGAGGGGGGGGGAUGAAGCUAGAUGUGCUUGGUUGACCACUCGGAGGGUCCUGAGCUGUUUGGAGAGUCGAGGAGUUCGGAGGGGAUCGAAUGGUGGCCAGAAGACUUCAGAAAUUGAGCUCCAACGGCUGUGCACGAAGUGGUUUGGACUUUGAUAAGUUUGGCGCCUUUUCUUUAAUUUUCUCUUCAUAUAUACUGUAUCGUUAUUAAUCACUUAGUUAUAGUAACCUUUAUAAAUUGUACUCAUUUAAUCGCAUAUGGUGUACUGUCUGUUUUUGGGUGAGGCGGGGACAUCACACAGCAUCCACACCAGCAGAUUACCCAGUUUGGCGGGGCCGAAGGCUGCUCCCCCUAGACGAGAACGAGCUGAGCGAGCCUGAGGCGACCUAGGGGGUUACAUUGUGGGGUGCUCGUCCGGGGUUGAUUUCUGUGGAAGCUGUGUGAUCACCCUCUUUAAAUUGUGUCUGCGGCGAAGAGCUGGUGUGCCUUUGUGGGUGUGCGAUUGCUGGUUAUCGCUGUGUGUGUGUUGGGUGGGGUGGCUGCUGUUGGCUGACGAAAUGGUGGUGGGACCAUGGGUUGUCCGUACUGUUUGGAGAUUGAGGAGUGACAGGUUGGGAUGUUUCAGCAGUGGUGAGCUCCGCCCGGUUAUUGGAAUAAUGUCCAGCCCUAAAGGGGUGGAGGCGUGGGCGGAGCGGACCCCUCAGUUGUUGGGUGAGUGGCAGUGCUUGGCUGAGGAAAAGCGACAGGGACGGGUUGAAAGUUUGAGUAGGCGGGCUGGUGACUUUGUUAGAACUGUCGGGCGCAAUUACCUCGAAGUGACCCUGCCAGUUCUGGGAAAGUGUGGGAAAAUGCGUGUGGUUUGACUGGAAGUCAAAUGCCGCAGCUGGGGGGCUUAUCAUAUCCGUGGCAGGAGAUUGGUGGGAAGUUUUUAGGGUAUCCCUUUUUGCCUAGGGGGGGCAGAUAAAUUGCUUGUGGUGCCAAGGGGAUCUGUCAAGGGGAUCAGUUGUUCCGUUGAUUCGAAAGGUGUCGGGAAACUUAGAGGAGGCCCAGUGGGGGAACGGCUUGGGGUCUCUGGGGGAGCACGUUCCCAGCAAUGUACCAAGGAACUCCCGAAAGGAACAGACCCUAUUCCUGAAGGCUUAGAGGGGCCAUGCGCACAGGUGUUGUUACGGAUGGAUGGAAGUCAAGUUAAAGCCAUCCUCGGCACCGGGGCGCCGGUGAAGUUGCUGUACAGUUUGUUUCAUAACCGUUAUUGGAAGCAUUUACCCUUGACAACAUUGAGGACACUGGAGAUUCGGGGUACCCGUGUCGGUGAUUAUCCAGACAACGGUUGUUGGUCAGUGAAAAUGGAGUUCUUAGAUGCAAAUGUGGAGGAGACUGAGGUUCAUGAAUCGUUAAUGCUGAUGUGUCCGGACCCUGUUGAGACGGGCAGCGUUUCUGUUCUAGAGAGAACCAAAAUCCUGCUGGUGCGCUUGGGAGCCUGCCCGGAGGAGACGGAUGCGAAGAGUUUUGUGUUGGGGCACGUUCCUCAGUCCACUUCACCAUUCUCCGCAGCCAGCACCAUCACUGUGUGUUGUUCCCCGGUGGCGUCGCUCCAGAGGAUUUUUGGCCAAUGCACUUUCUGUUGUGCUGACAACAUGGAGGACUGCCUCUUGUCCCUCAGCAAGGAGCUGAGCAACUUGGGACUGCCGUCUUUGUACACCGGCGAUAGUUUUGAGGAGAGUCCUGCUACAGACUUUAGCCUUGUCACCCUGAUAAACUGUACAUACUACCUGCUGCAGCUCCAUUGGAGGGACGUGGCCAGAAUUGAUGAACUAGAAUCGGUUCGGCUUAAAUCCUUCGACGAUCAGGACCGCUUGAGAAAAAGCCAACUAAAGCUACAAGAGCAGAUAGAAGCACUUGAGAGGGAACUUGCUGCGGUACAGGCAAAAGAACAACAAGCCCAGAGAAAUGUCCAUAAUCUUAACAACCUCCUCAAGUGCAAUAAGGAAGAGGUGGCGAAACUGCAGAAUGUCAUCGCGAGCCGGGCUGCUCAACACGUCCAUGACUUGAAGAGGAAGGAACAGGAGCUAACUAAACUGAAGGAGAAGAUGCAUCUCCACCUGACAGAUAAAAGGGACAGAAGGAUGGCUAUAGAUAUCCUGAAUCAGAUUGGGCGAUCUGAUGGAAGACGCUCGUUGUGGAGAACGGGGAAGACUGAAUCAAGAAGGGAAGGGGAGAUGUACAAGGUUCUUGCCAGUAACUACGAGACACAACUCCAGCAGCUGGCACUGGACAAUGCAGAGCUGAAAAAGGCUCUGAGCCACAUGAAGAAGGAGAUGAGUGACCUUCUGAGUGCCCAGGAGGAGCUCUGCAGACCCAGUUCCCUCCAGUCCCUGCUGGAGGAAGACGUGGGCCUCAAUGAAACGCAGGAUGUGGACCGGAAACAUUUUACUGAUGGCCUUCUGAAGCAGUGGGACUUGUUAAAGGAUCACUUGGAAACACGAGGAAUCGCCGUGCACGAGUGUGAGGGAGAAUGGAAAAUAUUGUCACCCCAGAUCCAAUGUGGCAGACAAACCAAUAAGCAUAAAAAAUCCGAGGCAGCACACACAAAAGCUGGAGGAGCUCAGCAGCUGCCCGGGAAUCGCCGGUUGCCGGGGAGGGUGAGCACGUCGUCAGUGUUACUGACCAUGAAAAGGAGAUGGCGAAGCUGAAGCUGGAGCUCGAGGAGUGCAGACAGAUCAUUCAGCAACAGCAGCAGGUUCUCCAGGACCAGCUGACCAUCAAGAAGGAAGAUCUGGCCCAUGGCCCGGAUUUGCUAGAAGAAAUGGAGUGGUUUAACAAGGAACGGCUGCUGUUCGAGGAGCAGAAGGAGAAUUUUAAGAUGGAGCGGGAAAAGUUCACAG